This 253-nucleotide ribosomal RNA is filed under the name uncultured bacterium. RNAcentral describes it as "partial 16S ribosomal RNA". It matches the Rfam family "Bacterial small subunit ribosomal RNA", at positions 524 to 776 of the family's 1533-position model. The record is from RNAcentral.
UACGUAGGGUGCGAGCGUUGUCCGGAAUUAUUGGGCGUAAAGAGCUCGUAGGCGGUGUGUCACGUCGGCCGUGAAAACCUGCAGCUUAACUGUGGGCGUGCGGUCGAUACGGGCAUCACUGGAGUUCGGCAGGGGAGACUGAAUUCCUGGUGUAGCGGUGAAAUGCGCAGAUAUCAGGAGGAACACCGGUGGCGAAGGCGGGUCUCUGGGCCGAUACUGACGCUGAGGAGCGAAAGCGUGGGGAGCGAACAGG